UACGUAGGGUGCGAGCGUUAAUCGGAAUUACUGGGCGUAAAGGGUGCGCAGGCGGUCUCGUAAGCUGGGUGUGAAAGCCCCGGGCUCAACCUGGGAAUGGCAUGGGAAACUGGCUUGCUGGAGUGUGGCAGAGGGGGGUGGAAUUCCGCGUGUAGCAGUGAAAUGCGUAGAGAUGCGGAGGAACACCGAUGGCGAAGGCGGCCCCCUGGGCCAACACUGACGCUCAGGCACGAAAGCGUGGGGAGCAAACAGG
Molecule: ribosomal RNA, 253 nt
Filed under: uncultured bacterium
Lineage: Bacteria
Description: partial 16S ribosomal RNA
Rfam family: Bacterial small subunit ribosomal RNA
Source: RNAcentral